UACGGAGGGUGCAAGCGUUAUCCGGAAUCAUUGGGUUUAAAGGGUCCGUAGGCGGACUGAUAAGUCAGAGGUGAAAUCCUGCAGCUCAACUGUAGAAUUGCCUUUGAAACUGUUAGUCUUGAGUUAUUGUGAAGUGGUUAGAAUAUGUAGUGUAGCGGUGAAAUGCUUAGAGAUUACAUGGAAUACCGAUUGCGAAGGCAGAUCACUAACAAUAUACUGACGCUGAUGGACGAAAGCGUGGGGAGCGAACGGG
This 253-nucleotide ribosomal RNA is filed under the name uncultured bacterium. RNAcentral's name for it is "partial 16S ribosomal RNA". It matches the Rfam family "Bacterial small subunit ribosomal RNA", at positions 524 to 776 of the family's 1533-position model. The record is from RNAcentral.